GGGGGGGGGGGGGGGGGGGGGGGGGGGGGGGGGGGGGGGGGGGGGGGCGGGGGGGGGUGGCUGGGGCGGGGGGCGGGGGGCGGAGGGGGGGGGGGGGCGUCGGGAGCUACUGUUUCGUGGGGGGUAACGUGGGGGAACUUACGCUAAUACCGCAUACGACCUGCGGGGGAAAGCAGGGGAUCUUCGGACCUUGCGCGAGUGAAGGAGCCGAUGUCGGAUUAGCUAGUUGGCGGGGUAAGGGACCACCAAGGCGACGAUCCGUAGCUGGUCUGAGAGGAUGAUCAGCCACACUGGAACUGAGACACGGUCCAGACUCCUGCGGGAGGCAGCAGUGGGGAAUAUUGGACAAUGGGCGCAAGCCUGAUCCAGCCAUACCGCGUGGGUGAAGAAGGCCUUCGGGUUGUAAAGCCCUUUUGUUGGGAAAGAAAAGCAGCAGGUUAAUACCCCGCUGUUCUGACGGUACCCAAAGAAUAAGCACCGGCUAACUUCGUG
Molecule: ribosomal RNA, 492 nt
Filed under: uncultured bacterium
Lineage: Bacteria
Description: partial 16S ribosomal RNA
Rfam family: Bacterial small subunit ribosomal RNA (bases 66-492)
Source: RNAcentral